Molecule: long non-coding RNA, 547 nt
Organism: Juglans microcarpa x Juglans regia
Lineage: Eukaryota; Viridiplantae; Streptophyta; Magnoliopsida; Fagales; Juglandaceae
Exons: 2
Source: RefSeq, a predicted model, not a curated record
CCAGUAAAUACCAUCGAUCAUUUCUUAAACCAAACAAGGUCAAUGAUUUUUUCGCUACGACACUUGUUCCUCCAGUCGGUUGCGUUCUAUCCCUCUCUGGCUCCAAGCCUCCUCCUCUGUAGAAAUUAUAAACCAAAGAAAGAAAACAUACAUUCUUCAUCUAAUCCUCCUCCGAAAGAACCGGUCCGUCUGUCUGUAGCACCUUAACCUUCAAGCUCUUUAUCAACAGGUGUAACACCUGCUGAGAAACUUUUGGAGUUGUAUCAUGGGAAAUGGAGACAGACUGUAGAUCCUGUUUUUGAGGAGCUACUCUACUGAGGUGAAUCAGAUUCUUGUGGGACGAGUGGGUCCUUUUGUGUGUAAAACCUUUCUUGAAUUCUUGUGUGUAAUCCUGAUUUUUAUUUCAAGCUGGGUUUAGUUUGUGGUUUUAUACUUAACAUCUCAUGUAACUCUCAUAGAAUGAACCAGAUCAACACUGGUCAUCUUGUCUCACGAAUGCUUACAAGUUGUUGACACCUGUUAAUUGAGAGAGGUUAAUCCGAACAUC